CAACAGGUGUCUAUCUGGAGACGGUUUCCCCCGAAAAAACAGCAAUUACGACUCAAAUACCACCUGUCACCUGUCUUCACUAAAUUAUAUUUUACACUGACAAUCAAUCAUAACUAACCACCCAAGAGUGGCCAGGUGAGUCUCAGAGUGGCCAGGUGUGAGUCUCAGAGUGUCCAGGUGUGAGUCUCAGAGUGGCCAGGUGUGAGUCUCAGCGUGGCCAGG
Sander lucioperca (pikeperch) is the source of this 222-nucleotide long non-coding RNA. RefSeq lists it as uncharacterized. The record is from RefSeq and is a predicted model, not a curated record. The transcript has 3 exons. Lineage: Eukaryota; Metazoa; Chordata; Actinopteri; Perciformes; Percidae.